GACGAACGCUGGCGGCGUGCCUAAUACAUGCAAGUCGAGCGGACUGAAUGGGAGCUUGCUCUUGUUCGGUCAGCGGCGGACGGGUGAGUAACACGUGGGCAACCUGCCCGCAAGACCGGGAUAACUCCGGGAAACCGGAGCUAAUACCGGAUAACACCGAAGACCGCAUGGUCUUUGGUUGAAAGGCGGCGCAAGCUGCCACUUGCGGAUGGGCCCGCGGCGCAUUAGCUAGUUGGUGAGGUAACGGCUCACCAAGGCGACGAUGCGUAGCCGGCCUGAGAGGGUGAACGGCCACACUGGGACUGAGACACGGCCCAGACUCCUACGGGAGGCAGCAGUAGGGAAUCUUCCGCAAUGGGCGAAAGCCUGACGGAGCGACGCCGCGUGAGCGAAGAAGGCCUUCGGGUCGUAAAGCUCUGUUGUGAGGGACGAAGGAGCGCCGUUUGAAGAAGGCGGCGCGGUGACGGUACCUCACGAGGAAGCCCCGGCUAACUACGUG
This 499-nucleotide ribosomal RNA is filed under the name uncultured bacterium. RNAcentral describes it as "partial 16S ribosomal RNA". It matches the Rfam family "Bacterial small subunit ribosomal RNA", at positions 28 to 507 of the family's 1533-position model. The record is from RNAcentral.